Molecule: ribosomal RNA, 484 nt
Filed under: uncultured bacterium
Lineage: Bacteria
Description: partial 16S ribosomal RNA
Rfam family: Bacterial small subunit ribosomal RNA
Source: RNAcentral
AUUGAACGCUGGCGGCAGGCCUAACACAUGCAAGUCGAGCGGAUGAAGGGAGCUUGCUCCUGGAUUCAGCGGCGGACGGGUGAGUAAUGCCUAGGAAUCUGCCUGGUAGUGGGGGAUAACGUCCGGAAACGGGCGCUAAUACCGCGUACGUCCUGAUGGAGAAAGUGGGGGAUCUUCGGACCUCACGCUAUCAGCUGAGCCUAGGUCGGAUUAGCUAGUUGGUGGGGUAAAGGCCUACCAAGGCGACGAUCCGUAACUGGUCUGAGAGGAUGAUCAGUCACACUGGGACUGAGACACGGUCCAGACUCCUACGGGAGGCAGCAGUGGGGAAUAUUGGACAAUGGGCGAAAGCCUGAUCCAGCCAUGCCGCGUGUGUGAAGAAGGUCUUCGGAUUGUAAAGCACUUUAAGUUGGGAGGAAGGGCAGUAAGUUAAUACCUGGCUGUUUUGACGUUACCAACAGAAUAAGCACCGGCUAACUUCGUG